Aegilops tauschii subsp. strangulata is the source of this 1478-nucleotide non-coding RNA. NCBI's taxonomy places the organism in Eukaryota, Viridiplantae, Streptophyta, Magnoliopsida, Poales, Poaceae. The record is from RefSeq and is a predicted model, not a curated record.
GUCUUAUUUCUAUGUAUAUAGAAGUUCAUGUUGCUUCUUCGCUCAAUAGCUGAUGGUUGGCUCUCCUAUCUUAUUGUCUAGCAUACUUUGACCUGUGAAUUAUGUAUAUAGAAGUUCAUGCUGCUUCUUAGCUCAGUAGCUGAUGGCAGGCUCUUUUUAAUAGGGAGGCUACUGAGAAUUAUGAAGAUAGGUGUUCAAAAAUGGCAAGUUUUUGUGGACACACAUGUCUUUGUAACCUUAGAGCCUGCCGUGUAACAUAUUAUUAAUGCAUCCUAUAGAUGCAGACCUCCCCAGUAAUGAAAAUGAACACACCACUAGAGUUACACGCUAGCGAUAUAUACACUUGAGCGAUGUUUGAGAAAUUUGGCGAGGUCCUGUAUGAAGCAGGGCAGUACUCAAAACCUAUUUUUUCUGACGGUACCAUCCAGAGAAACAUGACAAGUGGUACAGGGUUUUGUACAAAGUUGAAGUUGUUGAGCAGGUCAAGGAACUCGCAUGUUUUGGAGCACACAUGAUUGCUGUUCUACCACACGGUUAUGGUCCUUGAUUUCCCCGGUAUAGACCAGAUACCAGUAAAGCACAUUGGGAAACAUUGGACAAAGGACACAAGAGUUGUACUGCCAGAGCACCUGGCUCAUCUUCAGAAGGAUAAAAUUUCAGUGAACUCAAUAACAUUCAGAUGCUCAAACCUAUAGACCCAUGCCCUUGAAGUUAUAAGACUGGGAGAUGCAAACACAAGUGCAUAUGAGUGUGCAAUGGAUCUCCUGAAGAAAGCAGUGGAUAAGAUGACACUUAUACCCACUGUGCAGGAUGGAAUGGGGUUGGAAGACAGAAUUCAGUCAAACAAGGGGAAGAAUAAAGAGCUGACCGCAAUGUGUGCACCUCCCAGCGGAUGUGCAAGCGACACCGAAGGUAGUGCAAUUGGUAAUUUCGUGGGUCUAAAAAGGCUCCAGAACGAAAACGUAAGGCAGUUCGACCAACCAACAGCAGGGACAAGCCUACAUAUGAUGAUCGCGGUGCAAAUAGCAAAAAGUACAAAAAGGCAGCAAAUGCACAAGCUGCGGACUGGUGCGGUACAAGUAAGCGCACUCGCUUUGUAGUAUAUGUCGUGAGCCAGAUUACAAGAGCACCAACUGUCCACAGAGAGGUGAUCUUCCUCAAAAGGAAAGAAAAGAAGCUAAGUGGUGAAACGGUUGUGCUGCAUGUUGUUGAAAAUGCUACUUAAAAAGGAGAUGUGCGGGUCACCUAAUCAUUCAGCAUUUUUAUUUGUGUGUUGUUGACGGCUCCUUGGCUGUUUGCCGGAACAUUGUGUUAAGUCUAAUAAUAGCUGUUAACAAGCAUUGUGUGCUCUUGUCUUCAGUAUGUCUGGUUUGUAUGCAUGUUUAUCAUAAUCUGUGAAAAUUCAGUGACAUAUCAUUUGGGGUGUGCAUGUUCCCAGAGGUUUCAGUAUUUUUUAAUCGCAAGCCAAUUUGGUCUAA